AUCGGUAUGAUAAGUGAUUUAAUAAAUUGCGCGUCGCAAAACAUGAGGAACGUGGGAUGCGUUUUACGUCAGGUGUUUUCCAUGAAUCGUGUGACGUGACCAAAUAGUAUAUUCUACGCUCCUUCUGUUCCCUGGACUUCACUUCCCUGGCUUAUCAUACCG
RNAcentral lists this ribosomal RNA (162 nucleotides) under Plasmodium cynomolgi. RNAcentral's name for it is "partial 18S ribosomal RNA". Lineage: Eukaryota; Apicomplexa; Aconoidasida; Haemosporida; Plasmodiidae. The record is from RNAcentral.